Non-coding RNA from Chrysemys picta bellii (western painted turtle), 371 nucleotides. Lineage: Eukaryota; Metazoa; Chordata; Testudines; Emydidae. The record is from RefSeq and is a predicted model, not a curated record.
UUAAGGCAUCAGGUUCCUGCGGGAACCUAAGUCGAUUUAAACCCCCAUACCUGGGAUCCCAAACUGGAAGGCAAAGCAACUAACCCCGAGCGUUUGUGGUCUCCUUUCAGAUGCAGAGGUGGACUAGUCUCCUGUUUCUAUCUUUGAUCUUUUGCGCCACCCUCUCAGAGACCUUUGGACUCGUUUUAUCAGCAAAAGAAAAAAGGGGCUGGACUUUGAAUAGUGCUGGUUACCUACUUGGGCCACAUGCAGUAGAUAAUCACAGAUCUUUUAUUGACAAACAUGGCCUAGCUGGUAAACGUGAGAUACAGCCUGAAGAGGAUAUAAAAAUAGGUAAUGAAAUUAUGAAAGCCAAGAAUUUAUGCUUCUGU